RNAcentral lists this ribosomal RNA (906 nucleotides) under Triticum aestivum (bread wheat). Its description in RNAcentral is "partial small subunit ribosomal RNA". The record is from RNAcentral. Lineage: Eukaryota; Viridiplantae; Streptophyta; Magnoliopsida; Poales; Poaceae.
AUGAAGAAAGCACAAGAGAAGCUUGGGCCAUUGUUGGGACGAAAUCCUGGCUUGUCUAAAGAUUUCAACAAUUGUGUUGACUUUAGCUUUACACCACAGGAGUUUGAGGCAGGUUGGUGUGAGCUGAUGAUGAAGUAUGAGGCUAUGACUGACUCCCACUUUGAGAAUCUAUACAAGUACCGAGAAACAUGGGUGCCCUGUUACUUCAAGCAUCAAUUCUUCCCUUUCUUGCGGUCAACACAACGCAGUGAGGGGUUCAACGCUGUCCUUAAGCGUUAUGUGAACCCACACAAGUCCAUCUUGAACUUCGUGAAGCAAUAUCAGAAAAUCCAAACACACAUACUAGUUCGAGAGGGUGCGAAGGAUUACAGGACAGGACAUUUGCAAAGUGAAAUGUGGUCAUCUUACCCAAUUGAAAAGCAAGCCUACAAUUCAUACACUAGAGACUUGUACGAGAAAUUCCGCGAUGAAUUUCAGUUGACUACAAGGUACAACGUGCGACCCCACGGUGAACACUUGUAUGAGCUUUACCCCAAUCAAGAAUGGGUUGCUAAGUAUGGUUCUAGGAGCUAUUUUGUGACUGUUGAAACUAGUGUUGGAGACUACAGAUGUGAGUGUUGCAAGUUUCAUAAGGAUGGGAUGCUUUGCUGCCAUAUAUUGAAGGUUUUCAACCAUCUUGGGGUUGAUGAAAUCCCAACGCAGUACAUCAAAAGAAGAUGGACACCUCUAGCAAUCACGGAUGCACCGCCUGCUGUUGAGGAUAAGCCUGAUGAGUUGCUGGAACAAUCGAAGAAAGAACUCCGUCAUGCAAACUUGAUGAUGGACUUUGGUGGACUUGCUAAGGUUGCUAGUGCAUCGGAUGCUGCGACAAAUAUUGUAAAGAAGCAUAUGCGUGGAGCGCGUCAC